RNAcentral lists this ribosomal RNA (215 nucleotides) under uncultured bacterium. Its description in RNAcentral is "partial 16S ribosomal RNA". It matches the Rfam family "Bacterial small subunit ribosomal RNA", at positions 116 to 334 of the family's 1533-position model. The record is from RNAcentral.
UAUGGGGAUCUGCCCGAUAGAGGGGGAUAACUACUGGAAACGGUGGCUAAUACCGCAUAAUGUCUACGGACCAAAGCAGGAGCUCUUCGGACCUUGCACUAUCGGAUGAACCCAUAUGGGAUUAGCUAGUAGGUGGGGUAGAGGCUCACCUAGGCGACGAUCUCUAGCUGGUCUGAGAGGAUGAUCAGCCACACUGGGACUGAGACACGGCCCAG